This 512-nucleotide ribosomal RNA is filed under the name uncultured bacterium. Its description in RNAcentral is "partial 16S ribosomal RNA". It matches the Rfam family "Bacterial small subunit ribosomal RNA", at positions 28 to 523 of the family's 1533-position model. The record is from RNAcentral.
GACGAACGCUGGCGGCGUGCCUAAUACAUGCAAGUCGAGCGGAACUGGGGGAGCUUGCUCCUUCCAGUUUAGCGGCGGACGGGUGAGUAACACGUGGGCAACCUGCCCUGCAGAUCGGGAUAACUCCGGGAAACCGGUGCUAAUACCGAAUAGUUUGGCGCCUCUCCUGAGGCGCUACGGAAAGACGGUUUCGGCUGUCACUGCAGGAUGGGCCCGCGGCGCAUUAGCUAGUUGGUGGGGUAACGGCCCACCAAGGCGACGAUGCGUAGCCGACCUGAGAGGGUGACCGGCCACACUGGGACUGGGGCACGGCCCAGACUCCUACGGGAGGCAGCAGUAGGGAAUCUUCCGCAAUGGACGCAAGUCUGAUGGAGCAACGCCGCGUGAGUGACGAAGGUUUUCGGAUCGUAAAACUCUGUUGUGAGGGAAGAACACGUACCAACUAACUAUUGGUACCUUGACGGUACCUCACCAGAAAGCCACGGCUAACUACGUGCCAGCAGCCGCGGUAA